RNAcentral lists this ribosomal RNA (426 nucleotides) under uncultured bacterium. RNAcentral describes it as "partial 16S ribosomal RNA". It matches the Rfam family "Bacterial small subunit ribosomal RNA", at positions 355 to 774 of the family's 1533-position model. The record is from RNAcentral.
UGGGGAAUAUUGGACAAUGGGCGAAAGCCUGAUCCAGCCAUGCCGCGUGUGUGAAGAAGGUCUUCGGAUUGUAAAGCACUUUAAGUUGGGAGGAAGGGCAUUAACCUAAUACGUUAGUGUUUUGACGUUACCGACAGAAUAAGCACCGGCUAACUCUGUGCCAGCAGCCGCGGUAAUACAGAGGGUGCAAGCGUUAAUCGGAAUUACUGGGCGUAAAGCGCGCGUAGGUGGUUUGUUAAGUUGGAUGUGAAAUCCCCGGGCUCAACCUGGGAACUGCAUUCAAAACUGACUGACUAGAGUAUGGUAGAGGGUGGUGGAAUUUCCUGUGUAGCGGUGAACGCGUAGAUAUAGGAAGGAACACCAGUGGCGAAGGCGACCACCUGGACUAAUACUGACACUGAGGUGCGAAAGCGUGGGGAGCAAACA